AGAGACAGAUUGGAGCCUCCCGGACAGGCUGCAAAGCUGGGAUAACCAAGGAAGUGCAAAGCCUACCCUAGGUCAAUCAGAAGCCUGGCUGAUCAGCAGUGCUGCAGGAUCCUCCCACCAGUGUCUGGAAGGCUCCCAGGGAGAAGGCCACCCACCUUCAAACCCUCAUCAUCGGCCCAGAAACUGACACCAACGUGACCCUGAACGUCAGUGGCCAGAAAUCCCUGUGCCUAGAAGUCAAUCCCUGUAACACGGUCAAUCAGAUCAAGGAGCAGAUCAUGCAGGAGAGGAAGUUUGGUGGCUCAGGAUCCAUCAGGCUGCUGUAUGGGAACCAGGAACUGCAGGGCCUAAAGACCCUGGGCCAGCAUGGAGUGAAGAGCUCAGCUACCCUGUUCAACAUCCACAAAAUGCCCUGGGGGAUAAGCCACCACAGCGUGUUAAAGGCAACAUGGGAGAGAGCAGUUGAUGAAAUUAAAGCAAAUUGCUUAAAUUAAUCUUAAAUGCUUAAAUUAAUCUGUGUUCUGAUCUUAGCACCAGUGAUUGUGCUUAGUUUUAGAAGUUGAGCAGCUGUGUGAGCAUUAAAAGACACAGACAAUGAAUAAAGGAUUUUUAAAGGGG
Long non-coding RNA from Chelonia mydas (Green sea turtle), 618 nucleotides. RefSeq lists it as uncharacterized. NCBI's taxonomy places the organism in Eukaryota, Metazoa, Chordata, Testudines, Cheloniidae. The transcript is spliced from 2 exons. The record is from RefSeq and is a predicted model, not a curated record.